RNAcentral lists this ribosomal RNA (439 nucleotides) under uncultured bacterium. Its description in RNAcentral is "partial 16S ribosomal RNA". It matches the Rfam family "Bacterial small subunit ribosomal RNA", at positions 339 to 795 of the family's 1533-position model. The record is from RNAcentral.
CUACGGGUCGCUGCAGUGAGGAAUAUUGCACAAUGGGGGGAACCCUGAUGCAGCAACGCCGCGUGGAGGAUGACGCAUUUCGGUGUGUAAACUCCUUUUAUAUGUCAAGAAAAUGACGGUAGCAUAUGAAUAAGCACCGGCUAACUCCGUGCCAGCAGCCGCGGUAAUACGGAGGGUGCAAGCGUUACUCGGAAUCACUGGGCGUAAAGGACGCGUAGGCGGGGUGGAAAGUCAGGUGUGAAAUCCUACAGCUUAACUGUAGAACUGCACUUGAAACUUCUAAUCUAGAGUAUGGGAGGGGGAGAUGGAGUUAGUGGUGUAGGGGUAAAAUCCGUAGAUAUCACUAGGAAUACCUAAAGCGAAGGCGAUCUCCUGGAACAUUACUGACGCUAAGGCGUGAAAGCGUGGGGAGCAAACAGGAUUAGAUACCCGCGUAGUC